GCUCCUUGAGGCCAGGGAUCAGGUUUUCUCACUCUCCUAUACCCUCCAAACCACUUAGUAUAGUGCUGUGCACAGAGUAACUAAUCAAUAAAUACACCAUUAAAUGAUCAUUCCGUACAGUUCCCAGUUCGCGGUAGUAGACAUUUUAUGGAAAAGACUACUGAUCAUGGAACCAUCCCUGUUUUCUCCUGUGGGAAGAGGCAGGGGUCGAUCAAGAAAUUAUGGAUGGGGAGGGAGGAGAGUCACACAAUACUGAAGCAGGGCUUCUCCGUUUCAGCUAAAGGUAGCAAGAGUCACGGAAACUUCACGGAAAACCAGGACUCAUCCCUAAGCCGAUGCCGGUGACAACCUAACCUGUCUGCUCCUUAUCCGAUCUGCGGCUUGAGCGGUGGUGGAAUUGGGCUGACUCUCCUGGCCUCACCUCCCCUCAAUCCCUUUGCCUCCCACAUCUCUCUUGGCCCUAAUCUGUCCGAGAACCACGUUGGAAAGAUGAAUACCAGAAACCCACACUGUUCCCCAUUCAGGGAGGGACCCGCUGCCAAGCACAGCUGGACUAUCUCAUUCAUGGAAUCAACCAUUAAUACAAUAACAAAAUGCGGUA
Molecule: long non-coding RNA, 601 nt
Organism: Ornithorhynchus anatinus (platypus)
Lineage: Eukaryota; Metazoa; Chordata; Mammalia; Monotremata; Ornithorhynchidae
Exons: 2
Source: RefSeq, a predicted model, not a curated record